Long non-coding RNA from Oncorhynchus tshawytscha (Chinook salmon), 1401 nucleotides. RefSeq lists it as uncharacterized. Lineage: Eukaryota; Metazoa; Chordata; Actinopteri; Salmoniformes; Salmonidae. The transcript has 7 exons. The record is from RefSeq and is a predicted model, not a curated record.
CCUACGUGGGGAGGAUGGCCAGCCACACAGGAGGAUGAUUUUUACUAAGGAGGAGAAAGAGGCCGUGCUGACCGAGAUGCAUGCUGGCCAUUUCAGAGUGAAGCGCAUGAUUGCCAAAGUCAACCAAAGUCUGACAGGGAAUUGCCAAGGAGUGGGACAGCUGGGAAAGUGAAAUAACCUUUUGGUUAUCAAUCAGAUUCUAUUAUAUCUGAAAAUAUUAUGACUUCAAUGAAUGUCAAAUCAAUGUUUCAAUUUGUCACUUUUUGCUUAAAAGGUCAGCACCCUGUCUAGCCUGCCAGAAUUUUGAGAGGGUGAAGACUGUGGCUCCGGAGUUGAAGCCCAUCAAAGUUGUUUGCACGAUGGCACAUGAUCGGGGUGGACCUCAUCUGACCCUUCACUAAAUCCAGGAAUGGCAACAGCUGGUGUCUGACGGCGACCCAUCACUUUACCAAGUGGAUGGAGGCAACACCCAUUAAGGACAAGAGUGGCGAGGCCACCUCCAAGGCGAUGAUGGACUUCUUCAACACCCACGGUUCUCCUGAGGUCAUGUUGAGUGACCGAGGUCAUGAACGCUUGAACAAGGUUUGGUGAUGGACCAACCAGACUCUCAAGACUGCCAUGGACAAGUCCCUUGAUUGGUACCAGGAAGGGUGGGAGAACAACCUGAAGAGUUACCUCGGUUGAAGCCAACAAUCUUCCCCAGUUUGAGCAGUUGGACGGUCGAUCACUGAAAGCACUGACGCCCUACACUUCAAGGAAGCCCAAUAGACAAAGACAGACUGUCCGAGCCCCCCAGGAGGUAUCCCACCCACCAGUGAGUUUAGAUCAGUCUGAUUCUCUGUGCUCUGAGUCGGAGGGGGACCAGCUUGAGGACCUAGGGUUUCUGCCUAACACCCAGACGUGGAUCCACCUGAUGUCCUCCAUUACCAACCACCCUGCAACUUUUCAUGACAUCAUCUACAGCUACUGUUAUUGUCAUGUUGUCAUUAUCUGCUAAGAAGGUUUUCUUGCUCCAUCAAACUGGGCUCAUAAUGUGUUGAGAUACACAGAUGAAUUAAAAACACUAGCACUGCAAACACUCAGAACAAAGAGAGCAGCAGUGCCUGGACUUUGCAGUCUCCCUCUUCACGUCCCCCUUCCGAGACUGGCUGCCUGUUGAAAACAAGUGACAGGCAGAACCUUCCACCCACACAGUAACCACCUCCUCCAUAUUCCACACACCAGAAUUCAGUAUUUCAGACUUUGAUUGUGUACAACAAAAAAAUCUGUGAAAAUAAAUUAAUUACAUAACUGUACCAAAAAAUAGUUUAUGUAUUAAAUCUUAAAUAUUGGCAGGUUGGUUUUCACUGCUGUUCCACAUUAUUCAUUAUUGUAUCCUAGGACCUACAAUAUAUACAUAUA